Molecule: ribosomal RNA, 1372 nt
Filed under: uncultured bacterium
Lineage: Bacteria
Description: bacterial SSU rRNA
Rfam family: Bacterial small subunit ribosomal RNA
Source: RNAcentral
GAUGAACGCUGGCGGCGUGCCUAAUACAUGCAAGUCGAGCGAACGGACGAGAAGCUUGCUUCUCUGAUGUUAGCGGCGGACGGGUGAGUAACACGUGGAUAACCUACCUAUAAGACUGGGAUAACUUCGGGAAACCGGAGCUAAUACCGGAUAAUAUUUUGAACCGCAUGGUUCAAAAGUGAAAGACGGUCUUGCUGUCACUUAUAGAUGGAUCCGCGCUGCAUUAGCUAGUUGGUAAGGUAACGGCUUACCAAGGCAACGAUGCAUAGCCGACCUGAGAGGGUGAUCGGCCACACUGGAACUGAGACACGGUCCAGACUCCUACGGGAGGCAGCAGUAGGGAAUCUUCCGCAAUGGGCGAAAGCCUGACGGAGCAACGCCGCGUGAGUGAUGAAGGUCUUCGGAUCGUAAAACUCUGUUAUUAGGGAAGAACAUAUGUGUAAGUAACUGUGCACAUCUUGACGGUACCUAAUCAGAAAGCCACGGCUAACUACGUGCCAGCAGCCGCGGUAAUACGUAGGUGGCAAGCGUUAUCCGGAAUUAUUGGGCGUAAAGCGCGCGUAGGCGGUUUUUUAAGUCUGAUGUGAAAGCCCACGGCUCAACCGUGGAGGGUCAUUGGAAACUGGAAAACUUGAGUGCAGAAGAGGAAAGUGGAAUUCCAUGUGUAGCGGUGAAAUGCGCAGAGAUAUGGAGGAACACCAGUGGCGAAGGCGACUUUCUGGUCUGUAACUGACGCUGAUGUGCGAAAGCGUGGGGAUCAAACAGGAUUAGAUACCCUGGUAGUCCACGCCGUAAACGAUGAGUGCUAAGUGUUAGGGGGUUUCCGCCCCUUAGUGCUGCAGCUAACGCAUUAAGCACUCCGCCUGGGGAGUACGACCGCAAGGUUGAAACUCAAGGGAAUUGACGGGGACCCGCACAAGCGGUGGAGCAUGUGGUUUAAUUCGAAGCAACGCGAAGAACCUUACCAAAUCUUGACAUCCUUUGACAACUCUAGAGAUAGAGCCUUCCCCUUCGGGGGACAAAGUGACAGGUGGUGCAUGGUUGUCGUCAGCUCGUGUCGUGAGAUGUUGGGUUAAGUCCCGCAACGAGCGCAACCCUUAAGCUUAGUUGCCAUCAUUAAGUUGGGCACUCUAAGUUGACUGCCGGUGACAAACCGGAGGAAGGUGGGGAUGACGUCAAAUCAUCAUGCCCCUUAUGAUUUGGGCUACACACGUGCUACAAUGGACAAUACAAAGGGCAGCGAAACCGCGAGGUCAAGCAAAUCCCAUAAAGUUGUUCUCAGUUCGGAUUGUAGUCUGCAACUCGACUACAUGAAGCUGGAAUCGCUAGUAAUCGUAGAUCAGCAUGCUACGGUGAAUACGUUCCCGGGUCU